AAAAUUAAUACCAGGUAAUCAUCGGUAAACUUACAACGUUUGUUAGCUUUUAUGUAAUCCUAAGGUAGUUCUCUAUAUAGAAUUAUUUUUAACGUUUUUUCGACGUUUACUUUAGGAACAAAUUGGAAAAUUUCAUAAACGUUAACAUAUUUAGCAAAGUAUGCAACUAAUGAUAAAAAUAGCACUUCAAACUAGACGCCUUUUUAGGCGUCUCUAGUACGAAGAGAAGACGCCAUUUCUCUAAUUUGACCUAAUUUCUUUAACUAUCAAGUUAUACAAUCGUGAAGAUAGAUAUUGUGAACAUGUGUUUACGUUAAUGUGGCCUUAGCUUGUAGUCGAAAUAAUAUGGAAUUUUUUUCAGCUAUUCAAAAGGAUUAAAUCUUAUCUGAUAAGGACUUGUUAUUUUGAUCAGAUUAUCUUUUAAAGUAGGUAUAUUUUUAAAAUUUUAUACAUAUUUUUCUGAUACAGCAUCACAAAGCAUUUAUUGUCUAUCAUUUACCGAUAGGGCCAUGUAAUGGCGAUGGCAACCAGCUUAAACGAUGAAGUUGACCAAGAAUUAUUAAAAACUGAAAUAAAUCACUAUUCUAACACACCUGAGGAGUAUAGUGAUGAAGAUGAUAAUAAAACUCCUGAAGAAACUGUUGAUGUUGAUGCACAUUGGCUUCACACUGCAGGAUUUUCUGAUAUAGUUUCCCAAUUGACAGAUGGUCAGGAUGUCAAAGAUGAUGAUAUGGAAAAUAUAACUUCUACAUUAACUAGAAAGCAAGCAGACGUUCUUAGGAAACGUGUUAACUCUUUAUCAGCAACUCUAAAGUCAAAAAGUAAAUCUUCUACUCACACGGAUGUACGGGAUAUUUUUCCAGAAAGAGCAGAGGAAACAGAAAUCAAAGAUUUUAGUUCUUUUGAUGAGCGAUCUGUUCAAAUAUCCGGUACACCAAAAAAUUCAAAAAACGACUUACCCACUAUAACGGAUAAUGAAGAAAGUAACUAUCAUAUAAAAUUCGAAAGAAGUAAUUCAAGAAAAGGAGUGUCAGACUUGCCAUAUUGUGAGAUAAAAGAUGAAGAUGUUACUUUAAUAUCAGAUUUAAGCAAGGCUGACGUUUUGAAGCUUCAUAGUUUUGUAUUUAUGGAAUUAACCGCUAUUUUUGACGAUCAUGGACUUAAUAUAACGAAAAAAAAAACAAAAAAGAAAUUUAAGGAAUUCGGAAUAUUUGGAACUUCUCUGCAAACUUUAUAUGACAGAGAUGUUAAGAAACACCCAGAUUUACUUGUACCAUUAAUUUUAAAACAAAUGAUAGGAUUUUUACAACAAAAAGGUUUAAGAGAAGAAGGUAUUUUAAGAGUACCAGGAGCCAUGGCGAGGAUAAAGCAACAUCGUCAAGUGAUAGAAGCAAAGUUUCCCUCAGGUAAUUUUGAUUGGGACCAUUUAGAUGCUAAAUCAAGUGAUGUCGCUGGAUUAUUGAAGCAAUUUUUACGUGAACUACCUCAGCCACUUCUCACAAAUGAAUACAUAGAUGCUUUCAGUCAAGUGGAAGAAAUCAAAGGCGUAGAAGCUCAAGUUCAAGCCUUAAUGAUGCUUUUCAUUCUUCUGCCAGACGUUCACAGAAAUUCUUUAAAGUUAAUUCUCGCUUUUCUGAAAUUGAUAACUGAAAAUGAGGAGAAGAAUCGAAUGAAUUUGCACAACGUGUCAACAAUCAUGGCUCCGAAUUUGUUUUCAACCGGUAAAAGUAAAAGGGAUUCGUCAAAACCUCAAACGUUCCAAUUGCAUGCAGCAACUAAAUGCUUUAAAGUAGUACGAUUAUUAAUACAAUAUGAAAAAGUUUGGGGAAUUGUACCAGGAUUUCUUUUAAAUCAAAUUCGACCCCCUCCUACUAAUAAAGGAUUCAAUAUAAAAAAAUUCUUUGGUCGUAAAGAUAAAAGUCCUAACAAAACUACAGCUUUGGAGGAAGAACGAAAAAAAAAGAAUAGGAUAAAAGUUACUAUGGGGACAUCAGUAAGCAAGGAUAUACAUUUACAUACUGGACUAACUGCUGGUCAGGUAGUCGAGCAGAUUCUUAAAGAGGAAAGUGUACUCAGCGGCUCAAAUCUUGAAGGAUUAAAGGAUAAAUUUCUGUACGAGAAGGGAGGAAAUAUAAACUGUAGGAAGUUAAAUCCAAAUUGUCGAUUAAUGCAAGCUUUUCGAGAUAAUCCAUUCGCUGAUUGGAUUAUUUCCUCAAAGCCACCUGUUAGUUAACUCUGUGUCUUUGGCACGAAAGAUGCUUCAAAUGCUAUCAAAGGGAAUUUUCCAAUGAUGUUAAUUGUCUAUAACAAAAUUAUCUGGAAAAUAAGGAUACAGUCACUUGACUGCUGGCCUCUUGAAACUAGCCUUAAACCCACCAAAAAAGGAUUAUUUUGUUUUAUUAUUUUUCUUAUAACAAUUUUUGGGAGAUUAUUCUUGUGUGGUCAUUGUUGUCUUGUUAUGAUAAGGUUGAAUGCGCUUCGGCUUUUAUUGACAAAAUGGGAAAGAAUUUUGUUUGUUUUUUUUUGUCUGUCUUUAAUUUUUACUCAAACUAAGUUUAAAACCAAAACAAGCAAAAGAAAAAACGUGAAGAUAUUUUAUUUAUAGGAUUAUCAUUGUCAUUGUUUCUAUUUCUCAUUUUUCUUCCGCUUUCAACUAAAUAUCUUUCAUUUAUUUUUUAUUUAAGAUCAUUGAACAUUAAACUUUCACCCUUCGCAUUAUAUUUUAUAAAAUGAAACAUGUAGGAAAUCUAUUCUUGGCUAUUAAACGCUAAACAAAGCUUUACCUGAAUGCUAGCUUUCUGUACAUAUGCAUAUACAUUAUAUUAAUAUCAUAAAUUAUACAUGUAAAGUAUAUGCAUGUAUUUCAGCUUGCAUGUAAAGGUAUUUAUAUAUAAAUUUAUAUAUAUUAUACUGUAUAUCUGUAAGUAUAUUUAUAUAUCCAAUAUCUUUCCCGAAGGGAAAUAACCAGGGUAAUUAUAUAAGAUGAGAUUUUGGAUUUAUAAUGUUAAAAAGAUAUAAUAAAUAGCCUAAGUAUUUGGCCAAUCAAAAUUCAAAUUUUUAAAUUAAAAAUAAAGAACAAGUGAGAAUGCUUUAGUUGAGUGUAAAAUUUAAUUAAACUUUAAUAAGUUAUACGUCCCAGAUUAGGUAAUGAAUUCAAUAUUUAUACAUUAAAACCGAAAUGAAAGAGAUGAAAUUAUUAAAAUUUGAAGUUUGUCAAUAAUAAAAAAUAGGAAAGACGUCUUUUUUCCAGUGUAUUUCCAGCUAAUUUAAAAACUAAAAUUAAAUUGAGCUUGUCAUACGCUCACGUCAUAUUUCUUGGAAAGCUUUAUACCGGAUGGUUAAAAGGAGCUAUUCAUGACAUGUUAGUCAUGACAUAGAAGCAUGCAGGCUAUUUAAAUAAAUUGUUAUUUACACGUUUCUAUCUCGUUCACCUUCACGAAAUAUUUUUUAAUGACGUCAAUUACCCGCUUGAUAAUCAUUCAUUGUCAGUUUUUGACGUCCCAUUACUGUGGCUUUCAUCACGAAGUAAAUCCCUCUCCAAUGACUUAAACUUGUCAGCUAAUAAUGUUUUAUUAUUUAAUAAGUUACCAUUAGAAGGAAUUGAGAAAUGAAAGCUAUUAAUAUCAUUAGUAUUAGAAGUUUUAGAAAACAUUUUAAGGAAUUUUCUAUUUAUAAAUUGUUUAUUUAUUCGAAUUCUUGAAUUAUUAAAGUUUUUCCGAGAAUUGUUCUUAUUAAUUAAUGAAUUAUCUCCAUUUAUAAGUUUACGUUUAUUUCUAUGCUCUCUUUUGGAAGUGUAGUAAGUUAAUUUUGAAUGAUUGUUUUUAUCAUUAACAAAGUAUGUUUCGUUUGAAACAUUCGAUUGUGUAUUAUCAAUCAAUGAGAAAUCAGUUGUUCUAUAUAAUUCUGACUGUCUUUGUGGGUGUAAAUCGGACAAGUAUGCGGUCAGAGACGCACUAUCAAUGUCAGAAUUGUGACUAAUACUUUUUGAAUCGGCACAAUUGGGAUUAUUUAAUUUUUCUAUUGAAUAAUGUACACUUUUUGUAGAAUCUUUAUCGGAAUUCUCUUUUAAUUGUCUAUAAAUAUCAGAUAGACUACAAAGAACAUCUUUUCUUAACAGAAGAUUAAUCUUCAUCAAACGUGUUUUUAUUUCAUCAGAAAUUUGAUACAAGUUAAGAAUAAGAUAAACUGGAUUAGAGCCAUCAAUCCUAUCAAUAUCCACCUCAUAGUCUAGAAUAUUAAAUAUUCUGUUAUUAGCUUCAUCGUCCACCUUAACAACUCUAUUUAUUGUUGGAGAGAAUCCCAAAUUUAGUCUUGUUAAAUUAUAAAAACAUGGUAGCAAGAACAACAGUAAAUAAAGCCAUGUUAUACACAUCGUUGUCGUCAUAAUACCUAUUGCAAUCUUCAUAAAAGCAUUACCAAAUGACCAAUUGACAGCAUGAACAAAGAAUGAUGAUAUUACAAUAGCAAACAUUGAAGGCAUUAUUCGAUUGUAUAAACUGUUCAUCUUUUCUAACAUAGUAGUGCCCUGGAUGCAUCUCAUGGUGUUAACUACUAAAAGAUGCAAUAAGCUGGAUCCUGAAAUAAUAACAGGUAUUGCUAUUAUAUGAGUGACGGUUAUAAAUUCCCUCCACACAAGGAAAAUUGCACUAACGCAGACAGUCGACGACAAAAGUGUACUUAGACUCGUCAAAAGCGUCAUAAUCCAUGGUAAUUUACAUAAAAUUAAGGUCAUACUUAAAAAGAUUAACUGAGCAAGGGAAAUGAAGAAAGGUAAGAAAUGGAACAUUGAUCUCACAUCAAAACAGGAAUCUGAGAAAAAUUCAGUCACUUUAUAUUUCUUCGGUAUUGUCCUUUUUAUAUUUUGCCACUCUUUUAACAAUUCC
RNAcentral lists this unclassified non-coding RNA (4883 nucleotides) under Dimorphilus gyrociliatus. RNAcentral describes it as "rho-GAP domain-containing protein". Lineage: Eukaryota; Metazoa; Annelida; Polychaeta; Dinophilidae. The record is from RNAcentral.